AGAGUUUGAUCAUGGCUCAGGAUGAACGCUAGCGGCAGGCCUAACACAUGCAAGUCGAGGGGCAGCACGAGGUAGCAAUACUUUGGUGGCGACCGGCGCACGGGUGAGUAACGCGUAUGCAACCUACCUCUAACUGGGGCAUAGCCCGAAGAAAUUCGGAUUAAUACCCCAUAAUAUCAUGAAAUCUCAUGUUUUCAUGAUUAAAGUUCCGGCGGUUAGAGAUGGGCAUGCGUGCCAUUAGCUUGUUGGUGAGGUAAUAGCUCACCAAGGCAACGAUGGCUAGGGGGCCUGAGAGGGUAGUCCCCCACACUGGUACUGAGACACGGACCAGACUCCUACGGGAGGCAGCAGUGAGGAAUAUUGGGCAAUGGGCGCAAGCCUGACCCAGCCAUGCCGCGUGCAGGAUGACGGCCCUACGGGUUGUAAACUGCUUUUAUACAGGAAGAAUUUCCCCGACGUGUCGGGGAUUGACUGUACUGUAAGAAUAAGCAUCGGCUAACUCCGUGCCAGCAGCCGCGGUAAUACGGAGGAUGCAAGCGUUAUCCGGAUUCAUUGGGUUUAAAGGGUGCGUAGGCGGGAAAAUAAGUCAGUGGUGAAAUCUUGCAGCUUAACUGUAAAAUUGCCAUUGAUACUGUUUUUCUUGAGUAUAGUUGAGGUGGGCGGAAUGUGUAAUGUAGCGGUGAAAUGCUUAGAUAUUACACAGAACACCGAUUGCGUAGGCAGCUCGCUAAACUAUUACUGACGCUCAGGCACGAAAGCGUGGGGAGCAAACAGGAUUAGAUACCCUAGUAGUCC
Molecule: ribosomal RNA, 795 nt
Filed under: uncultured bacterium
Lineage: Bacteria
Description: bacterial SSU rRNA
Rfam family: Bacterial small subunit ribosomal RNA
Source: RNAcentral